AUAGUUAAGUGGGAAACGAUGUGGGAAGGCAUAGACAGCUAGGAGGUUGGCUUAGAAGCAGCCACCCUUUAAAGAAAGCGUAAUAGCUCACUAGUCGAGUCGGCCUGCGCGGAAGAUGUAACGGGGCUAAAACUAUGUGCCGAAGCUGCGGAUGUAUACUUUGUAUACGUGGUAGGGGAGCGUUCUGUAAGCCGAUGAAGGUGUGUUGAGAAGCAUGCUGGAGGUAUCAGAAGUGCGAAUGCUGACGUGAGUAACGACAAAACGGGUGAAAAACCCGUUCGCCGAAAGACCAAGGGUUCCAGUCCAACGUUAAUCGGGGCUGGGUGAGUCGACCCCUAAGGCGAGGCCGAAAGGCGUAGUCGAUGGGAAAAUGGUUAAUAUUCCAUUACUUCUGUGUAAUGCGAUGAGAGGACGGAGAAGGCUAAAUCAGCCUGGCGUUGGUUGUCCAGGUGAAAGGAUGUAGGCAUGUAUCUUAGGCAAAUCCGGGGUACUCUAUGCUGAGAUCUGAUAGCAAGCUGUACUUGUACAGCGAAGUGGUUGAUGCCAUGCUUCCAGGAAAAGUCUCUAAGCUUCAGUUACACAGGAAUCGUACCCGAAACCGACACAGGUGGUCAGGUCGAGUAGACCAAGGCGCUUGAGAGAACUCUGCUGAAGGAACUAGGCAAAAUGGUACCGUAACUUCGGGAGAAGGUACGCUGUUGUUGGUGAUGGAACUCGCUUCCUGAGCUGACGACAGCCGCAGAAACCAGGCCGCUGCAACUGUUUAUUAAAAACAUAGCACUCUGCAAACACGAAAGUGGACGUAUAGGGUGUGAUGCCUGCCCGGUGCUGGAAGGUUAAUUGAUGGGGUUAGCGUAAGCGAAGCUCUUGAUCGAAGCCCCAGUAAACGGCGGCCGUAACUAUAACGGUCCUAAGGUAGCGAAAUUCCUUGUCGGGUAAGUUCCGACCUGCACGAAUGGCAUAAUGAUGGCGGCGCUGUCUCCAGCAGAGGCUCAGUGAAAUCGAAAUCGCUGUGAAGAUGCAGUGUACCCGCGGCUAGACGGAAAGACCCCGUGAACCUUUACUGCAGCUUGACACUGAACUUUGACCUUACUUGUGUAGGAUAGGUGGGAGGCUUUGAAGCUGGAACGCUAGUUCCAGUGGAGCCGUCCUUGAAAUACCACCCUGGUAAUGUUGAGGUUCUAACUCUGUCCCGUGAUCCGGGACGAGGACCGUGUCUGGUGGGUAGUUUGACUGGGGCGGUCUCCUCCUAAAGAGUAACGGAGGAGUACGAAGGUGCGCUCAGCGUGGUCGGAAAUCACGCGUAGAGUAUAAAGGCAAAAGCGCGCUUAACUGCGAGACCCACAAGUCGAGCAGGUACGAAAGUAGGUCUUAGUGAUCCGGUGGUUCUGUAUGGAAGGGCCAUCGCUCAACGGAUAAAAGGUACUCUGGGGAUAACAGGCUGAUACCGCCCAAGAGUUCAUAUCGACGGCGGUGUUUGGCACCUCGAUGUCGGCUCAUCUCAUCCUGGGGCUGAAGCAGGUCCCAAGGGUAUGGCUGUUCGCCAUUUAAAGAGGUACGCGAGCUGGGUUUAGAACGUCGUGAGACAGUUCGGUCCCUAUCUACCGUGGGCGCUGGAAAUUUGAGAGGAUCUGCUCCUAGUACGAGAGGACCAGAGUGGACGAACCUCUGGUGUACCGGUUGUGACGCCAGUCGCAUCGCCGGGUAGCUAUGUUCGGAAGGGAUAACCGCUGAAAGCAUCUAAGCGGGAAGCCUACCUCAAGAUAAGAUUUCCCUAGGACUUUAUGUCCUCUAAAGAGCCGUUCGAGACUAGGACGUUGAUAGGUUGGAUGUGGAAGCAUAGUGAUAUGUGAAGCUGACCAAUACUAAUUGCUCGUGAGGCUUGACUAU
Molecule: ribosomal RNA, 1890 nt
Filed under: Acinetobacter baumannii
Lineage: Bacteria; Pseudomonadati; Pseudomonadota; Gammaproteobacteria; Moraxellales; Moraxellaceae
Description: partial 23S ribosomal RNA
Rfam family: Bacterial large subunit ribosomal RNA
Source: RNAcentral